This is a long non-coding RNA of Peromyscus californicus insignis, 555 nucleotides long. RefSeq lists it as uncharacterized. The transcript has 3 exons. The record is from RefSeq and is a predicted model, not a curated record. NCBI's taxonomy places the organism in Eukaryota, Metazoa, Chordata, Mammalia, Rodentia, Cricetidae.
UAGACAUCCCCUACAUCUUCAGGCAAAGGGACCAACCAGCUUAAAGUCUGAGAACUUCCCCUCAAAGUCUCACAGUUAGCCAACAGCAGUGUUGGGAUCCAAAUCUGGAUUUCUGUCUUCUGAGAGGACGGCCCUUGACUCUGGGAUGAAACCACAGCGAAGGCUCCAGGCCACACUCUCCUCUGCCACCCCUGCUUCCUGACACACCCAGGGACUUCCCCCAUGUGGCCUUGUGGGACACGGCAUGGCAGGCCUCCUUCUGUUGAAAUCAUCGGGAUGUAGCUCUCAGCUACUACUCCAGGGCCUGUCUGUGUGCUGCCAUGUUCUCCACCAUGAUGAUAAUGGACUAAACUUCUGAAAUUGUAAGAAAGGUCCAAAUUAAAUGCUUUCUGUCCUAAGAAUCGCCUUGGUCAUGGUAUCUCUUCGCAUCAAUAGAACAGUGACUAAGAUACUGAGGCACAGAAUUCUAGAGAUAAACAGCCUGGAAUAUUAUGCUCUUGUGAGGAAAAGUAAUAUCAAAUUAGGGAUCAUAAAGGGAGGAGCUGGAGAGAUGGC